AAUUUUGGACAAUGGGGGAAACCCUGAUCCAGCCAUCCCGCGUGUAUGAUGAAGGCCUUCGGGUCGUAAAGUUCUGUCCUAGGGGACGAUAAUGACGGUACCCUAGGAGGAAGCCCCGGCUAACUACGUGCCAGCAGCCGCGGUAAUACGUAGGGGGCGAGCGUUAUCCGGAAUUAUUGGGCGUAAAGGGUGCGUAGGCGGCCUUUUAAGUCAGAUGUGAAAGGCUACGGCUUAACCGUGGUUAGCAUUUGAAACUAAAAGGCUUGAGUGCAGGAGAGGAGAGUGGAAUUCCUAGUGUAGCGGUGAAAUGCGUAGAUAUUAGGAGGAACACCAGUGGCGAAGGCGACUCUCUGGACUGCAACUGACGCUGAGGCACGAAAGCGUGGGGAGCGAACAGG
This 398-nucleotide ribosomal RNA is filed under the name uncultured bacterium. Its description in RNAcentral is "partial 16S ribosomal RNA". It matches the Rfam family "Bacterial small subunit ribosomal RNA", at positions 360 to 776 of the family's 1533-position model. The record is from RNAcentral.